UUGGCAUAGAUGGCAUGAUUUGAAGGUGCUCCUGGCUCCUAAUGCUCUUUCAUGGAUCUACUGUGAGGCCUAAAGUAGCCUCCAUUACUUACUACGUUAAGUGAAGACACUGUCUCCAGAAGGUCCCAGUUGAAAAGACUUAACUGAUAGAUGAAAAAAUAAAAAGCAGAUUUCCGUUGGCUAACCUCAGCCUUAUCUUCCUCAUUUCUGUUUCCUCUUGAAGACACCAAGGGCCCUUCAAAACACACGACGUUCCUGCUCACAGCAUAAAGCCCAGUUCCCUCUGGACUCUGCAGUUUAGCCCAUCACCAGGGAACCUGUGCCUCCUCUGCGACCAAGGCAUCACUUCAGUAAUAGCUCCAGGGACUAAGCCAAGGUGCCUGUGGGAGGCUCUGGAAAGCUCAUUGAACACUUUCCUAACAACUCUGCCAGGGCCACAUCUCCUAGGAAGAUCUCUCCUCCCCACUGAAGCCCCUGGGCCGGCCUCCUGCAGUGCCACGCUCCGUGUAUUUGACAAGCUGAGUUGGACACUCCAUGUGGUAGAGUGUCAGUUUGUCAAAUACCCCAAGUGCGGCACAUGCCUAGCAGCUUCAGGCCAGGGCAGUUGGGAUACGACAAACAGACUACCAACUGGAUAAAAGAACACAUGCCAAACAUCAAAUAAGCUCUCACAAGUUAUUUUCGGUGACUUUGAGGGAAUGGAAGCAUUGUAUCUGAGGGUACCAGUGGAAAAGUGAGACAGUGCUGGGAGCCAUAGCCCUGGGCAGUGUCUAUACAUAUAGUGGGAGCCUGAGAGGGGUACAAUAGUCUUGAAAAGGUAUUCAGGGCCCAGGGAUUAAAGUGCUGCUUGAUUAAUUAUUUUCUUCCUUCCUGUUCCCUUCCAGAGUCUCCCAGGAAGGACACUAGAAUUCUUACACAAGCAUCAUGGCAUGGCUUAGAAACCCACUUUCCGGACACUCAGCCUUGGCUCCUAAAUACACUUUGACCUUAGCCUAUCUCUUUUUUUCCCUCAUGCGUUUUCUCCUUCCGGGAACACCAUCUCAAUUUUUUUUCUGCCUAUCCAAUUGUUUCCCAUAUGUCCUGGCCCAGCCAAAGUCCAGUCUUUCCAGGGACUUUUGAAAGUCAACCUGUUUUCUUCUUUAUUCUCAAAGCACAUCUUGCCUGGGUCCUUGUACCCUUUUAUCUCCUACUGCUUAAUGACAGCCCUUCAAUUGUUAGUGAACUUUUCCAGAGGAUAUUUUUUAAUUGCCCACUAGAUUGUGUGCUUCUAGAGGACAAGAUUGUGUUUCCUUGAUUGUUAUCUCUCCAUUCCAUCCCUACCCCAGAUCCCAGCAUAAUACUCUGGUUACAGAAAAAAACUUAAUAAAUGUUUACUGAUUGA
This is a long non-coding RNA of Rhinolophus ferrumequinum (greater horseshoe bat), 1381 nucleotides long. RefSeq lists it as uncharacterized. NCBI's taxonomy places the organism in Eukaryota, Metazoa, Chordata, Mammalia, Chiroptera, Rhinolophidae. The record is from RefSeq and is a predicted model, not a curated record. The transcript has 4 exons.